GGGCCCAUAGCUCAGUUGGAAGAGCUACCGGCUCAUAACCGGUUGGUCCCAGGUUCGAGCCCUGGUGGGCCCACCA
This 76-nucleotide transfer RNA is filed under the name Nitrospirae bacterium RBG_13_41_22. RNAcentral's name for it is "tRNA-Met". It matches the Rfam family "tRNA". Rfam says of the family: Transfer RNA (tRNA) molecules are approximately 80 nucleotides in length. Lineage: Bacteria; Pseudomonadati; Nitrospirota. The record is from RNAcentral. RNAcentral also lists the same sequence under 12 other names.